This is a long non-coding RNA of Oncorhynchus tshawytscha (Chinook salmon), 305 nucleotides long. The record is from Ensembl. NCBI's taxonomy places the organism in Eukaryota, Metazoa, Chordata, Actinopteri, Salmoniformes, Salmonidae.
GAGCAGGUAGCCUAGUGGUUAGAGCAGGUAGCCUAGUGGUUAGAGACAGGUAGCCUAGUGGUUAGAGCAGGUAGCCUAGUGGUUAGAGCAGGUAGCCUAGUGGUUAGAGCAGGUAGCCUAGUGGUUAGAGACAGGUAGCCUAGUGGUUAGAGCAGGUAGCCUAGUGGUUAGAGGCAGGUAGCCUAGUGGUUAGAGACAGGUAGCCUAGUGGUUAGAGCAGGUAGCCUAGUGGUUAGAGCAGGUAGCCUAGUGGUUAGAGACAGGUAGCCUAGUGGUUAGAGACAGGGAGCCUAGUGGUUAGAGCA